RNAcentral lists this ribosomal RNA (400 nucleotides) under uncultured bacterium. RNAcentral's name for it is "bacterial SSU rRNA". It matches the Rfam family "Bacterial small subunit ribosomal RNA", at positions 360 to 776 of the family's 1533-position model. The record is from RNAcentral.
AAUUUUGCGCAAUGGGCGAAAGCCUGACGCAGCAACGCCGCGUGUGUGACGAAGCCCCUCGGGGUGUAAAACACUGUCAGUAGGGACGAAAUUUGACGGUACCUACAGAGGAAGCACCGGCUAACUCCGUGCCAGCAGCCGCGGUAAUACGGAGGGUGCAAGCGUUGUCCGGAAUCAUUGGGCGUAAAGAGUUCGUAGGCGGCAUGUCAAGUCUGGUGUUAAAUCCUGAGGCUCAACCUCAGACCGGCACUGGAUACUGGCAAGCUUGAAUGCGGUAGAGGUAAAGGGAAUUCCUGGUGUAGCGGUGAAAUGCGUAGAUAUCAGGAAGAACACCGGUGGCGUAAGCGCUUUACUGGGCCGUUAUUGACGCUGAGGAACGAAAGCCGGGGGAGCAAAUGGG